This 1125-nucleotide long non-coding RNA is filed under the name Pogona vitticeps (central bearded dragon). RNAcentral describes it as "lncRNA (ENSPVIG00000013044.1)". Lineage: Eukaryota; Metazoa; Chordata; Lepidosauria; Squamata; Agamidae. The record is from RNAcentral.
AAAUCUCCUACUUCUGCUGUCAAGUCCAAGAAAAUGGGAGUUUCUUCUCCAUCACUGUCAAAGCUGCAAGAGGAGGUAUUCCAGCCAGUCUCUUCCAAGCACAGAACAGAAUCAAAUGUGACAAGGCCACAGCCAUUCAGGACCAAGGUGAAGGCUGUCAACUGGGAGCUGUGUGAAGGCUGAGAAGGUGAAGCUGGCAGACAUGCCCUCCAGAGAAGGCUGGGAGGUAGUCUGCCUGUGGGACCCCCCCAACACUGGGCAGUGGGUAGAACUGACUGUCUCGUUGGAGCAUCGAAUUGCAACUGAGCCCAUCAACAGUAGGAUUGUCAGCUGGAAAACCAGCGAUGGGCUCAAUGCUGCAACCAUGAGAAGCAAAAGCAACCACCCUGGGGGAUUAGAGUCCUUUCUUCUUAACAAGGUCCAACGUGCCACACAGAGCAAAGGUUAAAUGAAGCAGAAACUUAACAGGUGUGCACAGAACUUCAAAGACAGCAGCAGCAUUUACAGCUUAGAGAAAAACCACCACCACCAAAAUCUGCCAAAUAUUCAGAUGGGACCUCCCUUUGUGUAAGACUUUGGAAACCAGUUUUGAACAUAUCUCCACGUGAAUGGAGGUUUCCCCAUAAUACCUGAAAUGUGAAUCAAUCUGAAACAGGUUCCACUUCUUUCACAACAGCUGGAUUACUUUUGCCCAUUAAAUAUUAUCUUGUAUUUUCAAUCUAGUUUAAUACUAAUGAAGCACAACAUUCACAAGUACAUUCUUUAGAAAUGGCAUUAUAACAUAUUUUCCAUCCCCACUUUGACACAGCAGUGAAAGAGAUCUUCAAAUAUCCAGUGCAGAUGGUUGUCAAAAAGUGUGUGUUAGCCUUCAAUGCAGAAGUUUGGGUUUUAAGAGGAACAGUCCAUUGUGCUAUGUUUUACAUCUUUCCAGCUGCCCUUGAAAAGUGGAUUAUAGGCCACAUUUCACACAUCAGUGGGGAUGUUGACAAGGAAAGCCUUUGAGAAAACAUCCGAAGUUUGCUCAAAAAAACAAAACAAACAAACAAAUGGGAGAGCUCUUAAAUGCUGCAGAAGUAAUUUACUGCUUUAUGGCAUAAAUAAACAAGCACAUGUGUCAUCUAAACA